This is a non-coding RNA of Microcebus murinus (gray mouse lemur), 2428 nucleotides long. Lineage: Eukaryota; Metazoa; Chordata; Mammalia; Primates; Cheirogaleidae. The record is from RefSeq and is a predicted model, not a curated record.
AGUGUCACCUGACCUGGCCAGGAAGCCGCAGGUGGGAGCCUGGGGGAGGCGCUUCCCCUCAUCCUGGGCUUUGUGCGGCCCAGGGCAGGGCUGGGCACCGUGGGGCGCUGUGUGCACAGGAAUACCCGCUGCGGCCACCAGCAGUGAGUCACUGCCUGGGACUCGAAACAAUAGUGGGAGGGCCCGGGACACUGGCUGCUAUUUACCAAACAGGUCUUUUGAGCAGGGGGCAGCGUCCGGCUGGAGCUCAGUCCUGCAGACACCACAGUGCCAACCCCAGGAGCUGACACCGGGCGGCCGGUGGGGCUGGCUCUCUGCAAGACCUCGGGCAUUCGGGCCACCACUGCCCCAGGGCCCGGCCUCGUCAGCUACCCCGGGCCCCAGUUAUGGACCCCGCCGUCCACGCAGGGCUUGGGAGGGCUUGCAGCCCGGGCGCAGCCGGUGCCCGAGCUCUGUCUCACACCCAGGAGGGGCGCCUUUCCGCCCAAAGGCUCGGCUGGGAGCAAUGUGGGGAUCACCCUGUCCAUGCCUCGUUUUACUGACAGGUAAACCGAGUGGCAGGAGAUAGGGCUCGCUCAGGUCACCCAGGGCAGUGCUCUGUCCUGACCUCUCGUGCCUCCCUCCUCUCUCUACAAGUGGCUGCUCUGUCAGGCCCACCAGGGACGCUGUGAGCCCAUCAGAAGGUUCCAGGGGGCGGGCGCAGUUACUACUCGCCACCCCCCGCCACCACGGGGCACCGGCAGCCACGUGGUCGGAAGGGGCCUGUGGCGCAAUGGCCCGGAAGGCAGUGACACCAUCAUUCCCGUCCUAAGAACCAUCCGGCCCCGGGGGAAGACUGGCUUCUGGGGAGGGCAGAGGGGCCGGGCGCCCAGGCGCCGCCACCCCAGGGCACCCUUGCCACCUCCCCAGGUGUCCACCGCCAGGCUCCAGUUGGGGGCCCGCAUGUGCGGCAAUGUGCACACGGGACGAGGGUGUCUGCGAGGCCGUGCGUCCGGGUCUGUGCAAGGUGCUCAGGGGCACCUGCUCCGUUCACCCCAGGGCCCUGGUCUGCAUGUGGGGCUCCCAGGUCCCAGAGGGCAGAGGGUGGCCCUGCUGCCCAGGGCGCCCGUGGGCACAGCGGUGCUGGCGGGAGGAAGGAAGUACUCACUGAGCAGCGUCCUCCCUGUGGUCUGCGUCGGCAUGCUGGGCGCCCGCGCUCCGGCCCGUGCCUGCUGGGGGUGACACCUCAAGGCUGGGAGCCCUGCGGGCUGGCAGCCACUUUAUGCCCGCCGGGGCGAUUGGCCAACACCUCGUGAGCGGCCAAUGGGCGCUGGGCGCGGCGGGGUGCCCGCUCCUCCUCCUGUUUUCUUCGAAUUCGUUCUUCGAGGUCAGCCCCACGCCCAGGGAUGAUGCGAACCGCAGGCUCAGCCUUCCUGGGGCGAGUGGGCAGGGACCGGGUCCGUGCCACCUUUGGGGGGCCGGGGCCGGGCCCAGGGUGGGCGGGAGGGACUGGCCUCUGGAGGCCCCAGGCCAGUCUCUUCCCCGGGAGCCACCGUCCCCGCAGGCUUGGGGCUGAGGGGAGUGAGACAUCUUCCUUCUUGAGUGCCCUUCCCGCCCUCUCGCCCGAGCUGUUGGGACAUCUGUGAGCGGAAACCACCGGGCUCUGGGCACAGAGCCAGACCCAGGCUGGCAGCCCCGAGAUUGUGGUUCUGGCCCCGGGACCAGCAUCCCCCAGCCCAGCUCCCCGCUGCCUCCUGUCCUUUAUUGCCACCCCUGCCACCCUUCCCCGUCCCAGGCCCACAGCCCAGACCCGGCCACUGUUCUCUGCAGACAGUGUCCUCUGGGGAGAACUGGACACUUGCAGCAAGAAAAACAGGAGACCAGCGGUCAAGCCCCCUGAUGUGCUGUGUGAUCUGAGGCAAGUCACUUAACCUCUCUGGGCCUCAGAGCCCCCACUUAUCAAAUGAGGAGGAGAAAAGCAUUUCCCAGCUCACCUCACAGGCUGUUGGCUAUCAUGGACAUAAAAGGCAAAAAGCCUUUGAAGGGAAAAGAAACGAUGAAGAUCUAAUUCCAAGUAUUCGCUGUCGGGUGGGAGUGGUGAGGUUCGGGUGUGCUGGGUUUGGGGAGGAUGGGGAAGCUGUGAGCUCAGAGGGGAAGCCGGGAGGUGGGGCUGCGUCUGCAACGGUUGGGGACCAGGUUUCACUUUCUCUGAAAGAUAGCAAUCGUGGGUUUGCCCUCCACUUCUUGAAGAUUUGUCUGAGCUCAGAAUGAAGGGCCCCUGCAGACAGCGCCUGCCUGGCCAACCUGCAACUUUACUGUGGGGUAAACUGAGGCCCAGGUGAGGGUAGACAAGGCGAGGUUGAGGGGCAGGGCCAGGCUGGGAGACUCUGGCACAUCCGCCAGGCCAGGAAGAGUGUCCUUGGCCUGCACCCUGAGGGGCCCGGCUGCG